RNAcentral lists this transfer RNA (85 nucleotides) under Caldifarciminota bacterium. Its description in RNAcentral is "tRNA-Leu". It matches the Rfam family "tRNA". From Rfam's summary of the family: Transfer RNA (tRNA) molecules are approximately 80 nucleotides in length. The record is from RNAcentral. Lineage: Bacteria; Pseudomonadati; Caldifarciminota.
GCCGGGAUGGCGGAAUUUGGCAGACGCACUAGGUUCAGGACCUAGCGCCCGCAAGGGUAUAGGGGUUCAAAUCCCCUUCCCGGCA